AAAAGAAACUAACAAGGAUUCCCCUAGUAACUGCGAGUGAAGCGGGAAAAGCUCAAAUUUAAAAUCUGCCGGUCAUUGGCCGUCCGAGUUGUAAUCUAGAGAAGUGUUACCCGCGCUGGACCGUGUACAAGUCUCCUGGAAUGGAGCGUCAUAGAGGGUGAGAAUCCCGUCUCUGACACGGACUCCCAGGGCUUUGUGGUAUGCUCUCAAAGAGUCGAGUUGUUUGGGAAUGCAGCUCCAAAUGGGUGGUAAAUUCCAUCUAAAGCUAAAUAUUGGCGAGAGACCGAUAGCGAACAAGUACCGUGAGGGAAAGAUGAAAAGAACUUUGGAAAGAGAGUUAAACAGUACGUGAAAUUGCUGAAAGGGAAACGCUUGAAGUCAGUCGCGUUGACCAGGGAUCAGCCUCGCAUUUGCGUGGUGCACUUUCUGGUUGACGGGUCAGCAUCAAUUUUGGCCACUGGAAAAAGUCCUGAGGAAUGUGGCAGCUCCGGCUGUGUUAUAGCCUCUGGUCGCAUACAGUGGUUGGGAUUGAGGAACUCAGCACGCCGCAAGGCCGGGUUUCGACCACGUCCGUGCUUAGGAUGCUGGCAUAAUGGCUUUAAGCGACCCGUCUUGAAACACGGACCAAGGAGUCUAACAUGCCUGCGAGUGUUUGGGUGGAAAACCCGAGCGCGCAAUGAAAGUGAAAGUUGAGAUCCCUGUCGUGGGGAGCAUCGACGCCCGGACCAGAACUUUUGGGACGGAUCCGCGGUAGAGCAUGUAUGUUGGGACCCGAAAGAUGGUGAACUAUGCCUGAAUAGGGUGAAGCCAGAGGAAACUCUGGUGGAGGCUCGUAGCGAUUCUGACGUGCAAAUCGAUCGUCAAAUUUGGG
This 871-nucleotide ribosomal RNA is filed under the name Echinoderma asperum. RNAcentral's name for it is "partial large subunit ribosomal RNA". It matches the Rfam family "Eukaryotic large subunit ribosomal RNA", at positions 57 to 915 of the family's 3401-position model. The record is from RNAcentral. Lineage: Eukaryota; Fungi; Basidiomycota; Agaricomycetes; Agaricales; Agaricaceae.